RNAcentral lists this ribosomal RNA (253 nucleotides) under uncultured bacterium. RNAcentral describes it as "partial 16S ribosomal RNA". It matches the Rfam family "Bacterial small subunit ribosomal RNA", at positions 524 to 776 of the family's 1533-position model. The record is from RNAcentral.
GACAGAGGGUGCAAACGUUGCUCGGAAUCACUGGGCGUAAAGGGCGUGUAGGCGGGAAGGAAAGGCAGAUGUGAAAUCCCUGGGCUCAACCCAGGAACUGCAUUUGAAACUCCCUUUCUUGAGUGUCGGAGAGGAAAGUGGAAUUCCUGGUGUAGAGGUGAAAUUCGUAGAUAUCAGGAGGAACACCGGUGGCGAAGGCGGCUUUCUGGACGACAACUGACGCUGAGACGCGAAAGCGUGGGGAGCAAACAGG